Molecule: long non-coding RNA, 233 nt
Organism: Prionailurus viverrinus (fishing cat)
Lineage: Eukaryota; Metazoa; Chordata; Mammalia; Carnivora; Felidae
Exons: 3
Source: RefSeq, a predicted model, not a curated record
CUUGAGGCAGUGAGAGAUGAUGAGGAGAAUACACAUCCUCUUUGAAGGCAUCAGCCAUAGAGGAGCUUAUAGAGUCUUCAGGAAAGAUUACCAGCAUCCCAUUUGUCAUUGGCAACGAGAUUUCACGCUAAAUUGUAAAGCUAAAGAGGUACUAUGUCUCAAAUCGCCGUUCUUAAUUCUUCACAAUGAACUAUGAAAACCAUCAUAUCUGGUCCAGAUCCCUGCAUAACCUC